RNAcentral lists this ribosomal RNA (468 nucleotides) under uncultured bacterium. RNAcentral's name for it is "partial 16S ribosomal RNA". It matches the Rfam family "Bacterial small subunit ribosomal RNA", at positions 28 to 507 of the family's 1533-position model. The record is from RNAcentral.
GACGAACGCUGGCGGCGUGCUUAACACGUGCAAGUCGAACGGAAAGGCCCUGCUUUUGUGGGGUGCUCGAGUGGCGAACGGGUGAGUAACACGUGAGUAACCUGCCCUUGACUUUGGGAUAACUUCAGGAAACUGGGGCUAAUACCGGAUAGGAGCUCCUGCUGCAUGGUGGGGGUUGGAAAGUUUCGGCGGUUGGGGAUGGACUCGCGGCUUAUCAGCUUGUUGGUGGGGUAGUGGCUUACCAAGGCUUUGACGGGUAGCCGGCCUGAGAGGGUGACCGGCCACAUUGGGACUGAGAUGCGGCCCAGACUCCUACGGGAGGCAGCAGUGGGGAAUAUUGCACAAUGGGCGGAAGCCUGAUGCAGCAACGCCGCGUGCGGGAUGACGGCCUUCGGGUUGUAAACCGCUUUCGCCUGUGACGAAGCGUGAGGGACGGUAAUGGGUAAAGAAGCACCGGCUAACUACGUG